Molecule: transfer-messenger RNA, 366 nt
Filed under: Periweissella beninensis
Lineage: Bacteria; Bacillati; Bacillota; Bacilli; Lactobacillales; Lactobacillaceae
Description: Standard tmRNA
Rfam family: transfer-messenger RNA
About the family: Bacterial tmRNA, also known as 10Sa RNA or SsrA, is named for its dual tRNA and mRNA-like properties. Its role is to liberate the mRNA from a stalled ribosome.
Source: RNAcentral
GGGGUCGUUUUUGGAUUCGACGGGUAUUGGUCGUGCUAUGAUUGCGUUUAGGGGUUGUGACCCUAUAAUCCACUCAGUCAGAAUAACUGCAAACAAUUCAAAAAACACUUACGCUUUAGCUGCCUAAAAAACAGUUAACGUAGUCUAAUACAAUGUUGCUCAUGCAUUUUGUUAGACAACCAUUAAUGAGCUUGAUUAAGGAGCUUUUAUUCAGAGUUUCUUAAUGACAUUAACUGAAUUAGCUAGUCUGAUUUGCGAAGCCAAUUCCGCGUACAGACUAGUGAAAUUUAAAUAGAAUUGCUAUGAACGUAGAUAUUGUAGUAACGAAAUAUUCGGACGCGGGUUCGAACCCCGCCGGCUCCAUAA